GCCUAACACAUGCAAGUCGAACGGUAACAGGGAUUGCUUGCAAUCCGCUGACGAGUGGCGCACGGGUGCGUAACGCGUAUACAAUCUGCCUUUAACUAAGGGAUAGCCCAGAGAAAUUUGGAUUAAUACCUUAUAUUAUUGUGAUUUGGCAUCAUAUUACAAUUAAAACUUCGGUGGUUAAAGAUGAGUAUGCGUCCUAUUAGCUUGUUGGUAAGGUAAUGGCUUACCAAGGCAACGAUAGGUAGGGGGCCUGAAAGGGUGAUCCCCCACACUGGUACUGAGACACGGACCAGACUCCUACGGGAGGCAGCAGUGAGGAAUAUUGCGCAAUGGAGGAAACUCUGACGCAGCCAUGCCGCGUGCAGGAAGAAUGCCCUACGGGUUGUAAACUGCUUUUAUAUAGGAAGAAACCCCGAUACGUGUAUCGGCUUGACGGUACUAUAUGAAUAAGGACCGGCUAACUCCGUGCCAGCAGCCGCGGUAAUACGGAGGGUCCAAGCGUUAUCCGGAUUUAUUAGGUUUAAAGGGUCCGCAGGCGGGAUUUUAAGUCAGUGGUGAAAGCCUACAGCUCAACUGUAGAACUGCCAUUGAAACUGAAAUUCUUGAGUGUGGUUGAAGUGGGCGGAAUAUGUCAUGUAGCGGUGAAAUGCAUAGAUAUGACAUAGAACACCAAUUGCGAAGGCAGCUCACUAAGCCAUUACUGACGCUCAUGGACGAAAGCGUGGGGAGCGAACAGGAUUAGAUACCCUGGUAGUCCACGCCGUAAACGAUGAUCACUCGUUGCUGGUAAUAUACCAUCAGUGACCAAGCGAAAGUGUUAAGUGAUCCACC
Molecule: ribosomal RNA, 831 nt
Filed under: uncultured Cryomorphaceae bacterium
Lineage: Bacteria; Pseudomonadati; Bacteroidota; Flavobacteriia; Flavobacteriales; Cryomorphaceae
Description: bacterial SSU rRNA
Rfam family: Bacterial small subunit ribosomal RNA
Source: RNAcentral